RNAcentral lists this ribosomal RNA (235 nucleotides) under uncultured bacterium. RNAcentral's name for it is "partial 16S ribosomal RNA". It matches the Rfam family "Bacterial small subunit ribosomal RNA", at positions 15 to 233 of the family's 1533-position model. The record is from RNAcentral.
GAUCAUGCUCAGGAUGAACGCUGGCGGCGUGCCUAACACAUGCAAGUCGAGCGAAGCGGUUUUGAGGAAGUUUUCGGAUGGAAUUAAAAUUGACUGAGCGGCGGACGGGUGAGUAACGCGUGGGUAACCUGCCUCAUACAGGGGGAUAACAGUUAGAAAUGGCUGCUAAUACCGCAUAAGCACACAGCUUCGCAUGGAGCAGUGUGAAAAAUUCCGGUGGUAUGAGAUGGACCCG